This 497-nucleotide ribosomal RNA is filed under the name uncultured bacterium. Its description in RNAcentral is "partial 16S ribosomal RNA". It matches the Rfam family "Bacterial small subunit ribosomal RNA", at positions 28 to 507 of the family's 1533-position model. The record is from RNAcentral.
GACGAACGCUGGCGGCGUGCCUAAUACAUGCAAGUUGAGCGCUGAAGGUUGGUGCUUGUUCCAACUGGAUGAGCAGCGAACGGGUGAGUAACGCGUGGGUAAUCUGCCUUUGAGCGGGGGACAACUUUUGGAAACGAAUGCUAAUACCGCAUAAUAACUUUAAACACAAGUUUCAAGAUUGAAAGAUGCAAUUGCAUCACUCAAAGAUGAUCCCGCGUUGUAUUAGCUAGUUGGUGAGGUAAAGGCCCACCAAGGCGAUGAUACAUAGCCGACCUGAGAGGGGGGUCGGCCACAAUGGGAAUGGGACACGGCCCAAACUCCUACGGGGGGGAGCAGUAGGGAAUCUUCGGCAAUGGGCGGAAAUCUGACCGGGCAACGCCGCGGGGGGGAAGAAGGUUUUCGGAUCGUAAAAAUCUGUUGGUAGGGAAGAACGUUGGUGAGAGUGGAAAGCUCAUGCAGUGACGGUAACUACACAGAAAGGGACGGCUAACUACGUG